This 579-nucleotide long non-coding RNA is filed under the name Homo sapiens (human). RNAcentral's name for it is "non-protein coding LINC01728:7". The record is from RNAcentral. Lineage: Eukaryota; Metazoa; Chordata; Mammalia; Primates; Hominidae.
GGACUACUCUGUGGAUGUAUGAAAAACCACUGAAUUGCAGUUUAAGGCCACAUUCCAAUCUCAUGAGAGAAGAGCCCCUAGUUCUCAGGACUUUAACCCUCUUCCUGCCAGCACCCCCAGGCCAGUGCUGAGGGCUGACAAGUUGUCUAAAAGGGCAGGAGGACUUACUCCUGACAUGCAUCUGCCACCCAAACCAUCACAAUAGCCUUCCGCCUUCUCAGUGGGAGUACGAGUGACCCUGCAGCAGAAGGCAGCAGGAGGUGGUGACAAGAAUACACGUCUGGCCCUAAAACCUGGGUCAGUCACAUCCUGGCUGCCAUUCACCAGCUAUAUGAUUUUAGGAAAGUGGAUUCACCUCUGAGCUGCAGAUUCCUCAUCAAUAAAAUGAAGACAAGAACACCCACCCUUAGUAUUUGGGUAUUUAGACUGUUUCCAUGUUUUUUUUAUUUCUUUUAUCAUAUUCUUGGCAUUACGAGUUUAGCAUUCAAGGUUCUGACCAAUAAGUGAUCCCAGGGGUGUUCAUGAAAAUCCCCGGGGAAAGCUUUUACAAAAUAAAGAACGGAGUCUAUUGAGCUGGAA